RNAcentral lists this ribosomal RNA (289 nucleotides) under uncultured Bacteroidota bacterium. Its description in RNAcentral is "uncultured Bacteroidetes bacterium partial 16S ribosomal RNA". The record is from RNAcentral. Lineage: Bacteria; Pseudomonadati; Bacteroidota.
CUACUAGGGUUUCUAAUCCUGUUCGCUCCCCACGCUUUCGUGCCUCAGCGUCAAUUCCUGUCCAGCCACCCGCCUACGCCUCUGGUAUUCCUCGUGAUAUCUACGCAUUUCACCGCUACACCACGAAUUCUAGUGGCCCCUCCAGGAUUCAAGACCCGCAGUAUCAAAGGCAGUCCGACGGUUGAGCCGCCGGCUUUCACCCCUGACUUGCGGGCCCGCCUACACACCCUUUACACCCAAUGAUUCCGGACAACGCUUGCACCCUCCGUAUUACCGCGGCUGCUGGCAC